CCAAAAAGUCCCAGCAAAUCUAACUGAAUGUACUUCAGAGAACAGUGAUACUGGCUGAAAACCAUGGUUUACAUUCCAUCUUCAAAGUGAGAUAAUGCAAGAAUGCCAAAAAUUCAACAGAGCCUUCUCAAGUAACAAUCUUGUCCUUGAGAGAGCACUGGGAUUCUGAGCUGUGGAAUUUUCCACUCAUUUAUUCUUUCAUUUUUCAUCUUCCUUUGCCUUCAAGUGUCAAUUGGCUCCUCUCAGUCACAGCUGUACAAAUCACAGGACCCCUUUUUUUUUAAUUGGCAGAAGACAUAUACAUUAUUCAUCUAUUCAUUUCUAUCUAAUGGAAAUCCAAAAAAGACAAUUUUAUUUUCCAACAAAACAUUUAAAGCUGCUUUUCCCCCCAUGAGAAACGAGACAGAAGACUCCAUCCAUGGUCUAUAAAAGCCAACUGGUAAGGAAGUACUCUCUCUGCAAUAGCCAUGAGGACUGUGAGGUCUGCCCACAGGCAUGUGAGUGAACUUGGAAGCAGAUUCGCCCCCAACCCAGCCUUGAGCUGCCUGGAGAACUGGCCACCACCCCAGUUGCAGCCUUGAGACAGAAGAACACAGCAAAACCACUCCUAGAUUCCUGACCACAGAAACCAUGAGAUAAUAAAUGUCUGCUGUUUUAAGCCACUAGUUUUAGGGAUACUUUGUUACACAGCAAUAGAUAACUCAUGCAAUUGGAGAAAAUCGUAUGAAUGCAUUUCAUUAAAUAAAAGAAGAAAAAAAAACUCCCAUCUGCACAUUAAAAAAAAAAAAAUAGAAACAGAAUUUGCUAGCCUAUUUUUUUAAUCCCAGAUAAAAUCAUCAAUGGAUUUGAAUCAACUGCUAAAAAUACAGAAAUACAACACCUUCUAAAGAGUUUUCAAUAAUGAAUGCAUGAUUGACACCAGAGAAGAUGAAGUUAUUAAUUAAACUUCAAGAAAGAUCUGAAUAUAGUGCUCAAAGUAAAUAGAGUCAUGAUUUGGUCAAUCAUGCUAACAAACACUCCUGUUGAAAUUCUCUUUGCAUAGUAUCUUAUUUUGAUUAAAACUAGAAAUUAAAAUAAACUGAACUUAAAACCAGUCCUUCAAAUUACCCUAUCACAAGGUAUCACACAAAAGUUUUCAAAAAUAUAUAACAUUUUCAAACACAUUGCUCAUACUAAUAUUUAAUAAUAUUUUUGUGGGAGUAAAAAUUUUAAAUGUUGUCUAUGCAAUCUUAUCUCUGUGUAUUUUGUAAGAGAUACAAUAAACUAGUAUGAUGUACAUGUACAUAAACAAUUAAAUAUCAAUAUAAAUUAUUAAAUAACUACCUAGUUAUUUAAUAACUAGUUACCUAGUUGGAGAGGACAGGCUCAAGUUAUUUUAACAAUUGAAACAGUUUGUAUAUCCCUGACCUUGAAGGUAAGUCCGAAUGCUUUCCCUGAGUUUGUAUAGCUUCCACCUAUCUUUCUAGCCCUGUACUUAGAGCCACUUGCAACUCGCAAGACACUCUUGAGUAGCUUAGAAGUGAAUCCUCCCCCAGAAGCCUUUCUUCCAGCACCACCCCCACCUGGCCACUAUGUCUACUAAGAGUUUCUACUCAUAUUUCAAUGGUCAGCUUACUUGUCAGCUAUUCCAUGGCAUUUCCUCUUCCCCUUCCCCUCCCUUCACCUCCCAAAAUACAUAGUACCUUUGUAAUUUCUUUAUUACAGGACUUACGCACUGUGAUAUACUUCAAGGAUUUAUUUUUCAUCUACCCUUGUCAAACUGAGGGCGUCCUACAAAAUUUUCUCAGUAAAUGCAUGUACAAAUGAACUCAGUUUUCCAGAUCAUUUUCCUCCAUGGUUCAAAGUCUAACAAGGCAGGGGUUCUCCAUUUGGCAGAGAGAAAGAGGGGCAAAGCCACCAACAGCUCCAAGCGUACAUCAUCUCAGUUCAUUAGCCAGAGAUGGGAAGUUCCUCUUCCCUCCUGGGUCCAUGUAGGGUGAGAAGCGUUGUUGGAUAACCGGAACAGUAUCUGUCUACCACCACCAUGAUGGAAAAACCACUCGAAAUUCUACUACUUCAACACGCGAACCACUUGCCACCAUCACGUUUCCUGGCCGUGCUAGUGAAUGACUUUUAUAUAGUAUCCUGGCACACAUUUUUUCAUUCGACAUUUUGUCAUAAGCAUUUUACCUGUUGCUACAUAGACUUUAUAAUGACCAGUUUUAAGGGACCAUAUAAGAUUUAACUGUGAUUAGUCAUUAUGCAAUAAUUUACUUAAUCAUUUCCUUAGUGAUUUCUGCAAUUUCCAGCUGCUGUUAUAAUUUAAAAAUAAUUAUUCUCUUCCUACCUGUAGUUUGAAAAUAUGUGUUUCCUUAAGAUACUUCCCAGAAAUUGGAUUAAUGAGUGAAAUGGUAAGAACAGUUACAUAGGUCUAGUUCUUAAGAUGUAUAA
Bubalus bubalis (water buffalo) is the source of this 2430-nucleotide long non-coding RNA. RefSeq lists it as uncharacterized. The record is from RefSeq and is a predicted model, not a curated record. The transcript is spliced from 3 exons. Lineage: Eukaryota; Metazoa; Chordata; Mammalia; Artiodactyla; Bovidae.